This is a non-coding RNA of Aeropyrum pernix, 1687 nucleotides long. The record is from Rfam. Lineage: Archaea; Thermoproteati; Thermoproteota; Thermoprotei; Acidilobales; Acidilobaceae.
ACUCCGGUUGAUCCUGCCGGACCCGACCGCUAUCGGGGUAGGGCUAAGCCAUGGGAGUCGAACGCCCCGCCGCUGCGGGGCGUGGCGGACGGCUGAGUAACACGUGGCUAACCUACCCUCGGGACGGGGAUAACCCCUCGGGAAACUGGGGCUAAUCCCCGAUAGGCGGGGGGUGCCUGGAAGGGUCCUCCGCCGAAAGGGGCCGCGGGGGGUUAUCGCCCGCGGUCCGCCCGAGGAUGGGGCUGCGGCCCAUCACGGUAGUUGGCGGGGUAAUGGCCCGCCAAGCCUACGACGGGUAGGGGCCGUGAGAGCGGGAGCCCCCAGAUGGGCACUGAGACAAGGGCCCAGGCCCUACGGGGCGCACCAGGCGCGAAAACUCCGCAAUGCGGGCAACCGUGACGGGGCUACCCCGAGUGCCCCCCUUGGGGGGGCUUUUCCCCGCUGUAAGUAGGCGGGGGAAUAAGCGGGGGGCAAGACUGGUGUCAGCCGCCGCGGUAAUACCAGCCCCGCGAGCGGUCGGGGUGCUUACUGGGCCUAAAGCGCCCGUAGCCGGCUCGACAAGUCCCCGCCUAAAGCCCCGGGCUCAACCCGGGGAGUGGCGGGGAUACUGUCGGGCUAGGGGGCGGGAGAGGCCGAGGGUACUCCCGGGGUAGGGGCGAAAUCCAUUAAUCCCGGGAGGACCACCAGUGGCGAAGGCGCUCGGCUGGAACGCGCCCGACGGUGAGGGGCGAAAGCCGGGGGAGCGAACCGGAUUAGAUACCCGGGUAGUCCCGGCUGUAAACGAUGCGGGCUAGGUGUUGGGCGGGCGUGCGAGCCCGCCCAGUGCCGCAGGGAAGCCGUUAAGCCCGCCGCCUGGGGAGUACGGCCGCAAGGCUGAAAGGUCCGCGGGAGGGUUCCUGACGUGGUUAAGUAGAAUUGUUACCCUCCCCGGGCCCAGCAAACUUAAAGGAAUUGGCGGGGGAGCACCACAAGGGGUGGAGCCUGCGGCUUAAUUGGAGUCAACGCCGGGAACCUCCACCGGGGGCGACAGCAGGAUGACGGCCAGGCUGAAGGCCUUGCCCGACGCGCUGAGGGGAGGUGCAUGGCCGUCGCCAGACCAGCUGUAGGCGCCCGCACGGUACGCUGAAUAUAGUGUAAAUUAGAAGUACCUUAGGAGAAGACCUUAAGAUCUCUUCACUUUAAUAAACGCGCCGUGCGGGCGCCUGUGCUGGGGCGAACUCGUGCCGUGAGGUGUCCUGUUAAGUCAGGCAACGAGCGAGACCCCCGCCCCUAGUUGCCAUCCCCGGGGCGACCCGGGGGGCACACUAGGGGGACUGCCGCCGCUAAGGCGGAGGAAGGAGGGGGCAACGGCAGGUCAGCAUGCCCCUAAACCCCCGGGCUGCACGCGGGCUACAAUGGCGGGGACAGCGGGUGCCGACCCCGAAAGGGGGAGGCAAUCCCUCAAACCCCGCCUCAGUUGGGAUCGAGGGCUGCAACUCGCCCUCGUGAACGUGGAAUCCCUAGUAACCGCGCGUCAUCAUCGCGCGGUGAAUACGUCCCUGCUCCUUGCACACACUGCCCGUCGCUCCACCCGAGGGGGGAGGGGGUGAGGCCCUCUCCGCCGGGAGGGGGUCGAACCCCCUCCCCCCGAGGGGGGAGAAGUCGUAACAAGGUAGCCGUAGGGGAACCUGCGGCUGGAUCACCUCCC